UGUAGUAACUGUUGGGUUUGGUAUAUUCCAUCUCCUCACUCAGCAGUUUAGUACAGUCCUGGUGCAUUGGAAGAUCCCAUUUGGCCUGUAUGCCUGUGCCACAGUGGAGCGUUCCAUUGGGGUGAUAUAGAGGUCACAGCUAAAGUAGGUCACACGUGGAAAAUUCCGCGGUACCAGAGCCCAGUGACUACGCUAGGUCAUGGAAAAUUACAAGCUUAGAAAAAAUUCCCGCCAAUCAUAUGCAGAUGCGCACACCACUAUUGGCCAUUUCCAAAUUAUUCAUAUUUGACAAGUUGUGAUUGGUUUCCCGGCCAUUUAAAAGCUAAGUCAGUUUCCGCGCGCGGGGAGGUACCCUGCGGUUUUCUCUGAGGAAAGAGCUCCUCCGCAGUUUUCUCUCAAAGAGCUACUCGGCACGGUUUUUCUCAGAGGAAAUAUUCCGGGUGUUUCUCGGAGGGUACUCCCGUCGCCGAUAUCCAAUUUGACGCGCUUCCCCCCCCACGGCCGCAUCAAAAAGCCGUUUACGACCGUCGUUCAUAUCUUGUUGCAUCGUCUCUUGUCGCAUUUACCGUCUUUGCAACUCGUCGUGGGUUUUUUUCGUUGUAACUGUAACUCAAGCCCAGUUCCAUCGACCUACACUGUAAUCAUCACCGUCAGUGUAAGUAAAGAAAUGUUUUUCAACCAUUACGCAUCGCGUGCCUAGUACCUCUCCGGUGUCACCAGUACCCGCCUGCCAUUCUAGGCUAUUGACCCCAUAGCCUCGGUCUGCCUUGCCACCUGACCGCAACAUGGCGUCACGAACAGGAUCUGGGGAAAACACCUUGGAGUUGGAACUAGUGAAAUACUGCCCACGGCGCAGUGGGGAGCGCCAGACAUCCAACUCGGAUGAACUGUGGGCCCAUAUUGCCUACCAUCAGGCAGAGGGAAGGAGUAAAAAUGAGGCUGCCGGCUACUUUUCUAUCUGGGGAGAGACGGGAGCCAGAAAAGAGUGGGCCGCCCAGCUGGGUCCAUGCACUUUCGGGGGUGUACUGAGCGGAGGACGAGUGGCGUGCAUGCCGCAGGACGAGAUGGGAAUGCUGUCUCUAUCACGAGUGAAGGCGGAGGGCGCGAGGGAUCCGCACCCUGCCCAGGAGUUUGCCCGCUGUACUCGGUGUGUGCGCGAGAAUGGGGAAGGAACAAACCCCGAUAAAUUCGACUUCCCGGCUCUAGCGCCCCAGUCGCGUGGCCACAAGCUGCUGACACAGCUCCGGAAAAACUUAGAAACAGAGGGCCGCACCGCGACCAAAUGGUCAGAACCAGGGUGGCACCAGAAACAGAGGGCCGCACCGCGACCAAAUGGUCAGAACCAGGGUGGCACCGGGGGAAAAUAAUCAGUAUAAUGCUUAGAUCUAUUUCGCAUCUGCUGUCUGAAAAUGCUAACCUGGAAGCCCAGUUAACAGAAGUCAGCAGGGCCGCCACAGAAAUAGCGGCGCAAAAAGGCCCAUCACCACCACCAGAAAGAAAAGUGAGCUGCUCGGGUCCCCCGGAAAAGAAGGGUAGAGUCAUGGAGGAGAAGGCGGGACUUCACCCAGCAAACUCACCCCCUAAGGUGACGUCGGUCCCAGCGGCCCCGCCUCCUAGUUACGGGGAGGGGGCAAGUUCCUGGAGACAUCUCCUGAGUUACUUUGUAGGGACGGGGAAGAGCGACUGGUGCCCGGGACAGCUGGCAGGAGAAGGCCGCCACGAGGUCAGAGGCUAUGAAACAGCCCCGCCUCCUAGUUAUGGGGAGGAGGCAGUAAGCGGAGAGCUGUGUCGGCCUCAAGAUACAGUAACAAGUCCAACAGCCGCUUACCUGGUCGGAUAUCAAGGGCAAGAACAUCAUCAGUUUACCCCAUGAAGAGAAGGGAAAGAAUUACCCCAGAGGACGCCAGAAGAGAGAGCAAUGUCUGGUUUUCUCCUGUAUCACACCAAACUUACCAAGCGACAGUUGCGCGCCCUAGGGGAUGAAGGACAACAACAACUAGCGCGAGGAUUAGGAUUAGUCCCUAGAAAAAAAAACCAGGGGAUGAAUAACUGCCACCGGACGGAUCAACGAUGACAACUCUGAGCUCGGACCACGGAUCUUCGCCUAUAUACCAGUCCCAUUGUAUAUAAUUCUGUUAACCCAACAAUACAACGCAAGGUCUUUAGUUACUCAAAUUAAUUAACCAUCAAAAAGCGCUCUAACCAACAUCCUAAGAAUGUAUGGCACCACGAGUCUAUACCAACAAGGGUGUAUAUUUUACAAAAGAAAGUGAGGAAAGUGAGGAAAGAGAUGAAGAAGAUGAUGAUGGAAAGGGGCAAGUAGUAAAGACAAAGAAAGAAAGGUGAUCAGGUUCUAUAGGGACCUGUACACAAAAGGAAGAGGAAAAGGGAAGUAGAAGUAAAAGAUAGAAGGAAAGGAAGGGAAUUCUGGACGGAAAAAUAAGGUGUAAAGGAUGUCGUAAAUGGACAGAAAACAGUUUUAAGACGCUGACAAGAAACCUGCGCCAAAGGAAGAGGAACAUCAAAUUGGAGAAGAACCAUUCGAGCAGAACCCUAACCAAACACCAGCAGUGGCAGACCUUGCCCAUCAAAAUUAGUUAACCUGUUGAACUUUAACCCAGUUAUGACCCUAGUUACUGCUUGUUGCUGUUUAUGUUUUCUUUCAGUGUUGAUUGACAAGGGAGCCGUAACAGGUCCACUGACAUGAAACACAUCUGGUCUCCGUUAUGGUACACAGGUCAAGUUCAUGGUACCUCGUCAACCCGAAUAACCUGACAGACACUGCCCGGACCCUCGAUGGAGAAAGAGCACCACCACGAGCCUCGGCGAGUGACAUCACCAGGCCUGCAUUACUCCAUAUCCCAGCCCAGGGAUCUCGGAGACGGGCACCAGUUGGGGGAUGGAGGAAUGGCCUUGCCCACUGGUGGAGUUGACACUUAAGAUGCUACUUGGGGCUGCACGAUGGCAGUACCCGUGCCCUCCAAGGAGGAGGGUUUGGGGCCAACAUCCUCCCGGUGCCGUCCCGCAUCCAGCAGGGCCAGCCCGCUGCAGGGAAGCCUGGCAGGGUGGAGCAGGGGCUUCGGCACCCUUCAGACAUGAGCAGCCGAGGCAGCGGCAGACACCAG
Molecule: long non-coding RNA, 3125 nt
Organism: Alligator mississippiensis (American alligator)
Lineage: Eukaryota; Metazoa; Chordata; Crocodylia; Alligatoridae
Exons: 4
Source: RefSeq, a predicted model, not a curated record